GUAGGUGGCAAGCGUUGUCCGGAAUUAUUGGGCGUAAAGCGCGCGCAGGUGGUUCUUUAAGUCUGAUGUGAAAGCCCCCGGGCUCAACCGGGGAGGGUCAUUGGAAACUGGGGAACUUGAGUGCAGGAGAGGAAAGUGGAAUUCCACGUGUAGCGGUGAAAUGCGUAGAUAUGUGGAGGAACACCAGUGGCGAAGGCGACUUUCUGGCCUGUAACUGACACUGAGGCGCGAAAGCGUGGGGAGCAAACAGGAUUAGAUACCCUGGUAGUCCACGCCGUAAACGAUGAGUGCCAAGUGUUGGGGGGUUUCCGCCCCUCAGUGCUGCAGCUAACGCAUUAAGCACUCCGCCUGGGGAGUACGGUCGCAAAGACUG
Molecule: ribosomal RNA, 373 nt
Filed under: uncultured organism
Description: partial 16S ribosomal RNA
Rfam family: Bacterial small subunit ribosomal RNA
Source: RNAcentral